RNAcentral lists this small nucleolar RNA (127 nucleotides) under Catagonus wagneri (Chacoan peccary). RNAcentral describes it as "Small nucleolar RNA SNORA11 (ENSCWAG00000019815.1)". It matches the Rfam family "Small nucleolar RNA SNORA11". Rfam says of the family: U107 (SNORA11) is a member of the H/ACA class of snoRNAs that guide the sites of modification of uridines to pseudouridines. This snoRNA was identified by RT-PCR from blood cells and its expression confirmed by Northern blot analysis. The record is from Rfam by way of RNAcentral. Lineage: Eukaryota; Metazoa; Chordata; Mammalia; Artiodactyla; Tayassuidae.
GGUGUGCUCAGAGAAGGGGGCCUGGAGAAAUGGCUCCUUUGUUUUCAACUUAUGCAACAGGAAUCUUGGUGCGUGUGACAAGGGACACAAAACCCAUAGCCUCUCUAGGAACAAAUACUCAACAAGU